RNAcentral lists this ribosomal RNA (274 nucleotides) under uncultured bacterium. RNAcentral's name for it is "partial 16S ribosomal RNA". It matches the Rfam family "Bacterial small subunit ribosomal RNA", at positions 523 to 796 of the family's 1533-position model. The record is from RNAcentral.
AUACGGAGGGUGCAAGCGUUAAUCGGAAUUACUGGGCGUAAAGCGCGCGUAGGCGGUUUGGUAAGUCGGAUGUGAAAGCCCCGGGCUCAACCUGGGAAUUGCAUUCGAUACUGUCAGGCUAGAGUAUGGUAGAGGGAAGCGGAAUUCCCGGUGUAGCGGUGAAAUGCGUAGAUAUCUGGAGGAACAUCAGUGGCGAAGGCGGCUUCCUGGACCAAUACUGACGCUGAGGCGCGAAAGCGUGGGGAGCAAACAGGAUUAGAAACCCCGGUAGUCC